AGUCACAUGGAGCCAAACUAAAUAUGCAAAUACAAUUUUUUACAUAGUUUGUACGUAGCCAGCUGUCUAUUCUACGCAUAUUGACCUAGGUUAUGGUUUCCUGUUUUGUACAAAGAUUAUAUAUUAGAAAAAUGCAGAAGCAUGCUCUAGUGAGCUAUGUAUUGCAAGACCAAAUAUGCACAUUGUAAAAGUGCACCAAGGGCAGCACGGUGUCACAGCCCAUAGCAGUACUGGCGCAUAGCUCCAGGAUCCCUGUUUCAAUCCUGAGCUACUGUUGGUGUGAGUGGGGUUUCGCAGGUUCUCCAGAGGACCAUGACUAAGUCAGGAAAAAAUGUCUAAUGGUGUUCUUAUGCUGCUGUGAACCACCCUGGAAAAUCUGAGCUGUAGGUGGAUUUGGCACAACUUGUCUAAGACUGGAAUUUAGUAUAUAAUAAAGACACCUUAAACGAUUCCUAGUGGUGUUGUAUACUGUAUGUGUAGCAUGGUAAAUAUUAAUAUACUCUCAAUACUUCUAAUUUCAGUACGAAUGUAAGGCGGCUGCUGAAGGAACCAGAAAUACCUCACACACCCACUACACUUGUUUACAGGUUGCUACAGAAAUGGGCGCUAUUUGUGAACAAGACAAUAUGGCGCCCUCUCUUUCGCUCUCUCUGUGUAGACCAAUCAAAUCCCUCCGAUGUCUCCUCACGUCACACGCGUCACAUUGUCUUGACUCUGAUUGGCUGGUUGCUCCGCGUCACAGCCAGGCAACACGGCGGGAUUUUCAGACGGCUGCAGAUUUUUUUUCCCCUCCCCUGGUUAUGUUUCAUGUUUUUGCUGCGCUCGGACUCGGCGGUUAUUCUAUAAUAACUUUACAUUCUUUGGUAACGAAGACGUGUGUGGCAUUGUAGACGUGAUAAUAUAACAAACAAACAAACCAGAAAUUGGAUUAACUCUAGCUAAUCUAAUUUAAUCUAAGCUAAAGCUAAGCAGUUCAGCGGAUAGCUGUUAGUGAGCUAGCUUGGUUAGCGUCUCAGUGCUGUAGCUAGGAGGAAAUGUAUUAAUGUAUAAUUAUGGAUUAAGAGACGCUUCGUUUAAGUUUGUUUGUUGUGUGACGGACUGAAUAUUAUAAGUAUUUGUAAAAUUAGACCGUUAGACAUAAUGGACAGCCAGCAGCACCGCUAUAACUCCUCCAGUCAGGGACGAGAGAACAAACCGCAACGGAAAAAGGCUUUCGGUGGAGCCGGACCUGCACCGUGUGCGACCUGGGGAAACGAUGACUCGGAGAAAAAACCCAAGUUUAUGGACCGAUUUGCGAGUAUUCGUAUCCCGGGCAGUAAGAAGGAGAGGACCCAGCUUUCCCACAUGACCAAGCAGUCCUCCUGUGAUUGGUCUACCUCUUCUGAGUUUGAGGAUCUCUCCUCCAGGAUCACUUCGGAGAAGGAGAUUCUUGCUCUCUUUGAGAAAAUGAUGGAGGAUAUGAACUUGAACGAAGAUAAGAGAGCUCCACUCAGAGAGAAGGACCUGAGCAAAAAGAGAGAGAUGGUCCUUCAGUAUAUUGUUACAGCGGCUAAAACAGGCAGUCUGAAGAGCAGCAGCCAUCAGAUAUCUCCUCAAGAGUUUCUCAGUGAACUGAAAAGUGGAGCGACUGAUGAGAGGCUGUUUGCCUGUCUAGAUUCUCUCCGAGUCUCUCUCACCAGCAAUCCAGUCAGCUGGGUGCAGAGUUUUGGUCAUGAAGGCCUCGGACUUCUUCUGGACAUACUGGAGAGGCUGCUACACAAAAAACACCAAGAGAAGGUUGAUAAGAGGAGUCAGCACAAAGUCAUCCAGUGCCUAAAGGCUUUCAUGAACAACAAGUAUGGACUGGAGCGGAUCCUCGGGGAAGAGAAGAGCUUGGCACUGCUGGCCCGAGCUAUGGAUCCUCAUCAGCCUGCCAUGAUGACGGACGUCGUGAAGCUGCUCUCUGCCAUCUGCAUAGUGGGAGAGGAAAACACCUUGGAGAAGGUGCUUGAAGCAAUCACCAGUGCAGGGGAAAGGAAGGAGACCAGCCGUUUUAGCCCUAUAGUCCAGGGUCUCACUGACCGCUCCGUCCAGCUCCAGGUGGCUUGUAUGCAGCUCAUCAAUGCUCUCGUUACGUCUCCUGAUGAGUUGGACUUCAGGCUGCACAUCCGAAAUGAGUUCAUGCGCUGCGGCCUGCGAGAGAUAUUGCCGACUCUGUGUGCUAUCAGAAAUGAGGCUCUGGACAUCCAGCUGAAGGUAUUUGAGGAGCAUAAAGAGGAGGACAUGAUGGAGUUUUCCCAUCGCCUGGAGGACAUUAGGAGUGAAUUUGAUGAUGUGGGAGACGUGUUUAACACGGUGUACAGUCUGGUGAAGGACACGGCCGCCGAGAUGCAUUUCCUCUCCAUCCUGCAGCACCUGUUGCUCGUCAGGAAUGACCAUUUUGUUCGGCCUCAGUACUUUAAGAUCAUAGAGGAGUGUGUGUCUCAGAUUGUACUACAUCGCAGUGGGACAGACCCGGAUUUCUCCUACCGCAGGCGUCUGGAUGUGGACUUCUCUCACCUUCUAGAGGUGUGUGUGGAUAAGGCACGGGCAGAUGAAUACGAGCAGAGGGCUUUGGAGUUAGAGCAGAAGUUUGAUGAAGAGAUCAUGGGGAGACAGGAGGCCUUGGCCGAGCUCCUGAAGAAGGAGGAGAAAAUCAAUGAGCUGGAAGCAGAGGUGCAGGCCUUCAGAGCUCAGUUUGGGACCGCUCCAGUGGGCAUGCCUACAGCGCAGUCUGUCCCAGCCAUGUCGUCGUCUUCGUCAUCCUUUCCACCAUUACCUCCUCCUCCACCCCCUGUUGGAGCUGCUCCUCCUCCUCCUCCUCCUCCUCCUCCCCCACCUAUGCCAGGCUGUGCUUCCAUGCCCGGAGUACCUCCUCCGUUUGGUGUCCCUCCGCCCCCGCCUCCUCCUGGACUGGGGGGUCUUAUGUCCUCCCCCACUCGGUAUGUGCUGCCGUUUGGUCUUCAGCCCAAGAAGGAGUUCAAGCCUGAGACCAUCAUGAAGCGCCUCAACUGGUCCAAGAUCCAUCCACAGAAAAUGACCGAGAGCUGUUUUUGGGUUGUCGCCAGCGAGGACCGCUAUGAAGACGAGGACCUGCUCAGCCGUCUCGCUCGCACCUUCGGCUCUCAGAGACCCGCCCGGCGAGAUGAGGAGGAGCUCGAGGAGAAGAAAUUCAUUAAGAAGAGAAUCAAAGAGCUGAAAGUGCUGGAUCCUAAGAUCGCCCAGAACCUGUCCAUUUUCCUGGGUUCCUUCCGUUUGCCUUACGAGGAGAUCAGGAGGAUGAUUGUGGAGGUAGACGAGGAGCAGCUAACAGAACCAAUGAUCCAGACUCUGGUGAAGCACCUUCCUGAGCAGGAACAUCUGACUGCAUUGGCCAAGUAUAAACAUGAGUAUACCAGUCUGUCUGAACCUGAACAGUUUGGGGUUGUGAUGAGUGUUGUGAAGCGCCUGCGGCCGAGGCUGAACUCCAUCCUGUUUAAGCUGCAGUUUGAGGAGCAGGUGAGUCACCUGAGGCCGGACAUGCUGGCGGUGAGCGCGGCGUGUGAGGACGUGAGGAAGAGCAAAGCCUUCAGCAAGCUGCUGGAACUUGUGCUGCUCAUGGGCAACUACAUGAACACAGGCUCUCGCAAUGCCCAGUCCUACGGCUUUGACCUCAGCUCCCUCUGUAAGUUGAAAGACACCAAGUCGGCUGAUCAGCUGUCCACGCUGCUUCACUUCCUAGCUGAGGUGUGUGAGGAGAAAUUCCCUGACGUUCUCAAAUUUGUUGAUGACUUGCAACACGUGGACAGAGCCAGUCGAGUCUCGGCGGAGAACCUGGAGAAGAGUUUGAAGCAGAUGGAGAAGCAGCUGCUGCAGCUGGAGAAAGAUCUGGACACUUUCAGCUCCCCUGACAACCAAGAUGACAUGUUCCACAGCAAGAUGGCCAGCUUCUCCAUUCAGGCGAGGGAGCAGUACCAGAAACUGGUCGUCAUGCACAGCAACAUGAACACGCUGUUCCAGAACAUGCUGGAGUACUUCGCCGUCGACCCCCAGAAGACCUCGGUGGAUGAACUCUUCACAGACCUGAGCAACUUCAGAGCCAUGUUUGUGCAAGCGGUGAAGGAGAACGGGAGGAGGCGAGAGGCGGAGGAGAAGCAGAGGAGAGCGAGGGCUGCCAAAGAGAAGGCCGAACGCGAGAAGCAGGAACGACAGCAGAGGAAGAAGAGGUUGCUGGAGGUCAACGCAGAAAAAGAUGAGACUGGCGUGAUGGACAGUCUGCUGGAAGCGCUGCAAUCCGGAGCUGCUUUCAGAGACCGACGGAAGAGAGCACCUAGGCCCCGAGAUGAAGCAACUCACAUGGUCAGCCAAAGGCCAGUUCUGAAAGACUGCAACCACGAAAACACAAAGGUACCUCUGCAAAGGUCACGGUCUCGGCAGAAUAUCAAUUUCAGCCUUGCGCGAGCCCCCAUUUCCAAGGAGGCUCAUUAUGAGAGCGAGGCCCAUUCAUCUGCGGCACGGAGAUCAGCCCACCGCCCAGAGAGGGAGCAGGAGAAGGAGCGAGCGAGAGAACGAGAGAGUGAGAAGGAGCAAACUCGCCCCAGCUGCUCAGCUAACGGAGAGACUGACGUGGAGGCUCUUCUAGCCCGGCUCCGCGCCCUGUGAUGACCUCACCUCUAUCACCCGAUGCUCUUUAACCUCUCUCUUCCGUAUACAUUCAAAGUGGCCCACCAUCUCUUUUGCUCUAAUGACUACAAACGAGCACGAGCACACAAACAACAGAAGAAACGUCUUGACACUUAGCCUUUCCUUUCACAUGUCUCUGGCAUGUUGUUUUUGAUAGAAGUGCUGCCAUUGACCAAAUCGUUCAACUCAGGAUGUUUUUGUUUAAGAAUGGUUAAUGGUUGAGAACAACACAAAGUUUACACUUCUCGAAAUGUAUAAAAGGAGACGUGCAUUUGUAGAGAGGUUUGUGUGCGUAAGUAAGAGGAAAGUUAUUCUCUACAACCCAGCGGUACAGUGCUGUCGAAAUGUUUUCCGAGGUCUUAGGCAGAAAAUGGUAUUUAAAUGCUACAGCACCUCGUCUUUAAUACGUGUGCACUUUGGAUAUAUCCUUUUAUUCUAUGCAAACUCAUUAAAUUUCUUUUCAAAAUAUAUAGUUUAUUUGGGAAUUGUUUUAUCUUUUAGAAUUGCUCAUCCCAAUAUGUAGUGAUGGUGGGCUCAGAGAUAGUAAUGAUAUAUUGAUAGCACAUCAUACUAUAGAUAAAUUACAAAUAUAUAGUUGGGUUUAGGAUUCAAUGCAUAAAAUUAAACCAUAAACCUGCUGCUUUUGCUGCUAAAAUAUGCCAUUUUCUUAAUAAUCUGUUCAAUUCCAAAUAAUCAUCCUUUGACGCUUGCUCAGGACCAAGACCUCGGAAAGCAAUUUUAGAAAAACCGCGAGCAAGUCAUGUUGAGUGAUGAGUUUUUUAAUUAAAUCUUUCUUUUUUCCCUCCCUUCCCUUUUUUACAUUUUCUCCUAAUACGUUAAUUGCCCACUAGUUCCCGCACACUCCCUAGUUUUCUCCCCUAUCAUAUAGCAGCUAGACACCCUGAGAGUGUGAGGACCAACACAUGGUUUCUGUGAGAAAGCCAGCCGCUGCAUCAUUUCAAACUGCUACUGGUGCAGUCUUACAGGUUAGCCAGAUGCUAUCUGAAUGAUAUACUCUUUUCUGUAUUUAUGAGUGCAUGCACACCUUUGAUUGGCCAAUGUAAUGCAAGUCUGAUCAGUGACGGUCAGACAAUUGCCAUCACUCCUAAAGAGAACGCAUCCAGUUAUCAUUUCUACAUAUUCCAUAUGACAGCAGCUGCUCCUACUUUUGUAUUUGCUCAAUCCUAACACCAUCUUUUUAUUAAACAGACAUAUAAUAUGCAUUGUUCAUUGUUGUGUGUGCGUGCUAAAAGGGUUACAUAAUAGAUUAGCUACAGGGAAAUCUUUCUUAAUCUUUAAUGUUUUGUUGUGCCGUCUCUUCUUCUGUUCAGAGCGAAUGAAUCUUCAAAUUAAUUGACCUGUAAUUCUCUUUCUUGUCAGCAUAGUGUUAUCUUGUCUUUUCCUGAUUUAAUAAUAAUCUCAUGCAGUAUUAUCAAAUUGAACAUGACACCUGUGAUAAAACGAUGAUGUGGAUAUUCCCUUAAAUAUAUUAAAAGCCCUGUAUGUAUUUACUAACUUUUAUACGUCCCGCAGUUUAUUGCGUAGGUUUGUUGGACCAUUUCCAUUAAAGAAACAGAACACUGUUUUGGCUGUGUGUUCGUUCCGAGGUGGUGAAUGGAACAGCGCGCCGGUGGACAUCAUCUUGUUUUCGCACUUUUAAAUGAGAAUGAAAGGAUUUGUUCAAUUGUAGUGUGUGACUUGUGCGUCAGACCAUAAACACCACCAUGCAUGACUUCCGGGUUAUUUUCGUUCAUUCGUUCGUUAAAGAGACCAAUGAUAAUGGUGUUUUCUACUUUGACACUGAACCACAGUGAGAUUCGUAGAAAGUAUACUGAUUUCAUGCUCUCCAGACUGGCAGGGGGCAAUGCUAAAGCAAUAGUGGAACAUGCAGGGACAAGAAAUCCAUCACUAGCUCAUACACAAACAUCACUGGGGCCAUAUUUAGACGGUGAUACCGUGAACUAUUGCGUAGCUGGUGCAAAGCGCACCCCGAGAUGAUGCAAGAUUGUGUGUUCAGUGACGAUGCAAAGACGAAGCUUCUUUAUGAGUUGUAGGCAUGUGACAUCAACACCCGUGUGAUUUUUUUUUUUUUAUUAUUGCUUUUACAAAAUCAGCAGUUGGUUUGCCUUUAGCUAAGCUGCUGAGUUCUUAAUAUAACUCAGUGGCCUAACUUUAACUGGGUGCUACCCUGGUCUUCUGGCACUGAACCCUCACUGUGGGCCGGUUCAUUAAGAGAAGAUUCACUGAGCCCUUUGAAAACACGACUGAAAUCAGAUUGAUGGCACAGACAUGGAGAACUGACUGAUCAUGCAUGGAGUUCACCCACGUUAUUCUUUUUUCUUAGGGAUAACUACUUGAUCUCUGUCUCAAACGUGUCUCAGACGUGUCCGAGUCAGUAGCUGCAGUAAGGUCCCAUGCAACCACAUAUCAAUUGGAGGACUUAACCCAUUAGGUCUUUUCAGGAAAACCAUAACCAGCUGAGAGCCAAGUGAAGCCGCACUCUUCUCAGAAUGGAAGGCUGCGAAGUCUGCAAAAUAUUCAACCGAGUCUUAAGUGCUUAGAUGUUUAAUAAGCAAAUAAAUCUGUUUGUUUAUAGAAAUAAUGAUUAAGCAAACUCCAGACUAAUGAAUAAAAUAUUAGGCGUUAGAGGAGAAAUAAACACUGUAAAACACCAUUCUUAAAAUGCUGUUUAAGAAUGCUGGCUCAGAUCGGUGGGAGUGUUUAAAUAUAUCCUGUACGCCAUCAUACACCAACUCAGAUGCAUCCUAUGUUGCUCUGCCUCAAAAAAGUACAGCCAAAGUCCCUCCCUGAAAUGUUAGAUGCAGCUUCAUACAGAGCCGCAGGCAUCAUAACAGAGAAGUAGUGCUGGAUCACGAAUUAAGCUUGCCAGCUAACCUUCGCUCACUAGCUGGAAGACAAGCUCUUAUUAAAGUAGGAAGGUGUUUCUCAUUCACUCGGUGUUGAGUAACCGUGACAGUUACGUUAAUGUCCACAAUAAAGUUCAUUAUUCAUGCAUUCUAAUUAAUGUGUUGAAUGCGGCUUGGGACACAGCCCUAAAUUCACACUGAAUGAGUUGUACUUGUACUUUGCAGCUGCUGGUAACUUUCCUCUUCGCAGUUUCUUCAGUAGAUUCACUCACCGGGCAAACUUCCUGAAGAACAUUCUCAGUGAGCCGAGGUCCAGUGGCGCCAGAUGCUACACCUACAGUUUAAAGCUUCCUGUCUGAGGUUUCCAGAAUAUUUCUCCACGUUUGAACACUCAACAUACAUAUGGAUGUGGCAUAUUUUUACCCAGUUCUUUGCACAACCGUGAACGCAGCACUGCCCACUGGUGUCCCGGAGCAAAAGAAAAGAGAAGAGAAUUAAUAUUUCACUCAGUUAGUCACUCAUCAGGAUCCACUGUUUAUUCAGAAAACUCGUUUGAUGCCCCAGAGGAUUGUAUGGGGGGGGUGACAGUGAGUGAGGGAUAGUUGAGGCAUCUACAGUGAUGAAAGACUCUACUUUCAGACUGUACAAUAAACGGCCCCAUUUUCAGACUGUUUAUUGUAUUAUAAAUAAUCAUAACGGCUUUCUAAAGGUGUGUGCUGCAAUUUAAUUAAUCCAGGGGAAAUGUGGUGGGCUAACUACAGAGAGCCCUACCUCUUUCACACCCUCCACAAUAUGUCUUUGAUGCUAGUGGGACUCGGAAGUAAUUUACACUCUGAUUAUUUAUAUUUGCCUGUGUAAGCAGUGUAAAAUGAAGCCAUGAAUGCUGGUACAGCACCUUCCCAAACUCUUAACCCAGGCUUAAUUGCUUGGUUACAAGGUUACAAAAGCGCAUACACUGUUUGUGUAUAUGUGUAUAUAGCGCUGUGAAAAAGUAUUUCUUCUGUUUUUGUGUACAUCUCAUACUGAAUAGUUUUAGAUCUUCAAAUGAAAUACAACAAAGGCAACCUGUGUUUAUAUAUAUAAUAUAAA
Molecule: RNA transcript, 8636 nt
Organism: Ictalurus furcatus (blue catfish)
Lineage: Eukaryota; Metazoa; Chordata; Actinopteri; Siluriformes; Ictaluridae
Gene: diaph3
Gene name: diaphanous-related formin 3
Exons: 28
Source: RefSeq, a predicted model, not a curated record